GUACCGGACUGGUACAGCUCGUUCUGGGGUGCAAGGACCUCAGGCGUUAUCUCUGGCCAACCUCGGGUCCUUAAAGACUGUGAAUUAUACCCCGGCUCUACAGGAGGCGCUCAAACACUGCACACAGCUCAGGGAGUUCAGGUUGGAGCAGCCGUACUUCAGCGCCAAUGCCGCCUUCUUCGACGCGCUCGCUCACUGCCGCCUCCUCCGGCGCUUCUGUCUCGUCUCGCGCCACGGAACGUUCCAGCACCCGGCCGCCGUCGGUUUCAUGCAGCACUGCGAGGACGUCAUCAUGUUCCACAUGUUCACGGGCGGCACUCUGGUGGCCUGCAAAACGCUGCAGAAAACGCUGCUGGACGGUUUGUCUGCAUCCCGUCCAGCCCUGAGUGUGGUGGUGUACCCCCUUCUCCACGAGGACUUAGGGAACGUGAUCAGGGAAAUGCCGGCUCUGCCAUCUGGACGAGAUCACGCUCUUCAAG
This is a long non-coding RNA of Ictalurus punctatus (channel catfish), 479 nucleotides long. Lineage: Eukaryota; Metazoa; Chordata; Actinopteri; Siluriformes; Ictaluridae. The record is from Ensembl.